UUUCACUCUUCUGAAUUCGCAUCGGCAGAUGAGCGACGCCGGCGAAGCGGCUUGGCCUUGCGUUCUCCGUCGUUGUUCAUCGACACGGUUUUCCUUUCUGAUGUAUCCAGGUAUUAAAGACGCUGGCUGAUUCCGAGCACUAGAGCUCACCGCCGCCUGCAGCGAUGGCCGACUUCUCUUGGCUCACGGUGCUUGGCUUCCUCUUCCUCACCUUCAACUCCGGCAUGGCGAUUUAUCGCUCCAACGGCGACGCUGGCUCCGUCACCUUCGUCGUGGUAUCUUACCUCGACCUGCUGGCCCUCUUCGCCUGCCUGCGCUACUACGAGCAGUUGGAUCGCCACUCCCCCAAGCGCGCGACGGUCAAGGCUGGGGUUUGGAGCCUCACGACGCUCCUUACGGUCAUGUUCAGCUACAAAGUCGCUGAGAUUAUGCCCCUGCCCGUCAAAAUUCUUGUCUGGUCGAUGGCAGCGGCUACCUCCUGUGGCGGCUUCUACGCUUUCUUCGUCCACGACGAGAAGCCUGUCCUGCCAGCGG
Molecule: long non-coding RNA, 534 nt
Filed under: Sorghum bicolor (sorghum)
Lineage: Eukaryota; Viridiplantae; Streptophyta; Magnoliopsida; Poales; Poaceae
Description: long non-coding RNA (SBIC_LNC018203)
Source: RNAcentral